AAGUGUGCUCGUGCAUUGUUCGCCAUUUUGUCUGCGUGUUUUUUCAACGUGUUCUCUGAAAAGUUCAAGAGAUUUGUUCGAAAAAGUGUUUUAUAAGUGACUUAUUCAGUCUGUGGCUCUCAGAAUACGAGGAGGAAGUUCUCCUAAGUCAUAAGACCUGGGGUAGCAGUGUCCGUGUCCCUAUCAGCAGAGACGAGCUGAGAGGCUGUGUCGACGGAGGCCAACCCAAGUACUGGCUUCACACUGUGCGGCGAGCCGGCGAGUUCAGCAGACGCUGAGUUACCAUGGUUACAGGUCAGCAUUAGAUGACUGUCGUGUGAUUGUGGAUGAAGAGGAUUCAUCAAUAGUCUCCAGCCUGUCCAGAGCUACGGUGGAGUGAGACCAAAUAAUUGACACCCGUCAACUGAACUCUCAGAAGUUCCACGAACUAUUGGGAUCGACUCAGUCUUGAACUGAGGACUGCCAGACUUAACCGGUCCCGAACAGUUGCUUUAAUAUUAGUGUACACACACCGAGUGAGUUCCCGGGAACAAACAACUAUAGGGCCUGGUCGACCAUAUCCUUUUUUUUGGAAACAUUGUAUUGCAUUUUUAUUAUACUGUUGUUGUUGAGAGUUGUUCUAAGAAAUAACUAAGAAUAAAGAUUGAUUGUUUGAGAUCAUUCCAUA
Molecule: long non-coding RNA, 667 nt
Organism: Patiria miniata (bat star)
Lineage: Eukaryota; Metazoa; Echinodermata; Asteroidea; Valvatida; Asterinidae
Exons: 2
Source: RefSeq, a predicted model, not a curated record